Brienomyrus brachyistius is the source of this 8021-nucleotide long non-coding RNA. RefSeq lists it as uncharacterized. The record is from RefSeq and is a predicted model, not a curated record. The transcript has 3 exons. NCBI's taxonomy places the organism in Eukaryota, Metazoa, Chordata, Actinopteri, Osteoglossiformes, Mormyridae.
CCAGUGACCGACAAGCUAGAGACUGUGGGCUCCUUCGGGUGGGCGGGUCUAAGCAGCGCCUGGGUUGACAUUGUUGUUAUUGUAAGUAACUAAGAAAUCACUUUGGCUCCUUUUUAGUCGCGGGAUUAAAGCUUCUUUUCUGUGGGAUUUCUGCGGCGUCAGUAAUAAAGUGGCUUCGAAGGGGUGAACGUUGCGAUUUGAGAUCUGAAAAGUGGCUGCAGAGGAGAUGAAAAUGAGAACACCGAGGCCGCUCAAGAAGCUUCAGCUGAAGGUUCCCUGAGGUCACAUGCUUGGUUUGCCGUCAGCAGCUCUGCUAUAACCCCAGAGUGGAUGGAAUGUUUCCAAAACACUGAAGAAACGCAGGUCUGUCGGGUAGGAUCCUGCUACAAAGAAACUUUAUGCCUCCAAGUUCAAGGCUGUCGGGUUACCCGCUGGUGAGAGUGACUGGAAACAUUUGCUGAGAGACGGCAUUUUGGCACUGAGGAACUUCCCCGAAAUAGGCAGGUCCUGGUCAAUCGGGAAGGGCCUGGAGGAUCCUAGGACAGGAGAAUGUAAGCCUGUCACUUUCUGCAAAUGCGUUCCUCAAUAGUUACUGACAUUUCUGGUCAUCUGUCUCCAGGAGUUAAUGGAGCGCUGUGGCUGAUUUCUUCUCUGCUUCAUUCCCUGUGUGCUACUUUCGCACUUGGACCAUAAAUUAGGCUGCAGUAACCAUCCUACCAAGCAGCAUAGCAUCUCGUGGUGAAUGAGGAUUAAAUAAAAAGAUCAGCUCACAACAACUAAGUUGUUGCUUCUUCACACGUUGAGCAGUUGUGAGCACAUGUGUGCUCAGUCUUGACAGACUGAGUGGACCUUGAUGGCACGUGGAGUUGCGUGGAUUGCUCCCAGGCUGCAAUCAAAGCAGGUUGGGCUGUUAAUCCCCUAUAAACAAAUUUUAAUUCUUAAGUAGGAAGAUUACCAGGUGUAAUAAAUUACACUGAGUUUUUUGCAUUGUUUUGCUUGUCAUUAGCUAUUCGCAACUAUAAAUGUUUUUAUGAGUAUGUAGGGAAAAAAAAGAACCAGAAUUCCAUCAAAUCCAGGCUGCUACACACUUUAUGCGCAUUUUGUUGGGGUUUUAUCCCUUGUUCGGUUGUCCUUGGGGACGUUCAGGCUUCUGCAGCCCUUCCUCAAAAGUGAAUGGGUCUCGAUGGGACCCCUCUCUCACAUGAGAGUGAUUAGCCCGUGUUACCCGAACGUGGCUGAGCAGCUGAUGGUGAGCUGACUGUGAACGCAGACGUUCGGUGAUGUUUAGUCUCUGUUAACAGACAGGUGGCUCUUUGGCUCUUGCUUCGCACAGAAAUGAAUAUUCAUGUGAUUUUUGUUUUGUUUCUGACUUUUCUUUUAAUGAUCUCGUCUGGCAUGCUUGCUCUGCGGUUGGCACGGCGCUGGUUUCUAAGGAACGUCUGAAGAGCUUUUAGAAAACCACAUAAGUAAUAGCAGCACACGGUUGAGCCGUUUUCCUCGAAGCAGCAGCCAUGCAGCAGCCAUGCAGCAGCCAUGCAGCAGCAGGCGCGCCGCGCAACCUUAGAGGCGUCUGUUUCUCCAAGGACGGCGUUUCUGUUUUCAUUUGGCUCCAUCAGUUGCACCAUGCAGAAUCGAUAAAGCUGUUAACGGGCACGUGCUCUUGGCUGGAGUGAGGAGAUACCAGAAGGUUGCUCUCAUGCUACACAUCAGCCUGUUUGCGGGUGAGAUUUAAAGAUGACGUAUAGGUCGCUUAAUGCUAAAAUAUGUUAUAGUUUACUGUGGAACUUGUCGGAAUUUCCCCUCCCCCCCCCACCGUUUUCUUUUGUGAGGUGGGGGGGGGUGUUGAAGCACAGCUCGGUUUCUGAAGCCUUAAGUGGUCCCGUGAUGUCCGACUCCAAGAAGCAGACCUUCAGGAUGUGGGGGGCUGCGGAGUUGUCUCUCAGGCCUCCCGAAGGGGAGCUUAGAUGAUACCCACUGGGGAUUCAGCGUACGUGCUGAGCAAGCAAGCCGAGGCAUGGGAGGAGGGAGAGAGGGCUGCUGGGCAUGGAGGGGGGCUGGGUGCUGAGGUGCCAUGGAGAUGUUAGUGUGCUGAGUGGGUGCUGGAGGGAAAAGGGGCUCUGCAAUGUUACUCCUGCUGCACUGCAGAGCUCCUGGCUUUGGUCCACCCUCCGGCUGGAUCUCCGUGUCUUCUGAGUGCAUGCAUUCUCCUGAUCUGGAUGCGCAUAGGAAAAACCAAUAGUUGAUGUUCAGACCUUUUUACGAAGUUCUCCGUCUGAGCAGGGGGCUGCAGAAGUGAGGGGUUUUCUGAGUCUGCUUGGCUCAUCUUGGCUUCUGCGGACUGUCCUGUUUGAACCGCUCUACGUAUGAUGGGCUUCCCCAUUCUACAAAGCUCCAAAACAUGCAGAACCACAGGAAUUCAUACCAGGUCCUGAAGCUGCUCUCCUGACUGUUUGUAUGUUAUGAAGCAUGUGGAAUGAAAGCUGAAGAAUUUUCCUGCUUGUGAUCGAUGAAGUGUAUCUGUUUACCAAUCUGUCUGUUUCCCUUUCAUCUGCAUUUAGCAGUUCUUCCUCAGGCAUGCGAUUCUUCGUCUCAUUUCUGUUAUUUUGCACUCAAUGUGCUACUUGAUAGAGGCUGAGGAUGCAGUUUUACUGUAGGGCUUAGCUUUAGGAAUCCUUGGCUGCCGUACGGCAUGAUUCAGGUUAGCCGGUGGCCACAAGAGCACACGCUCACGUCGUGCCGGGAGCCGAACCUGACAUUUGCUCCCGUCUCUGAAGGUGGCCGCAAAUUAUGUGCAGAGCCAAUGAAAACAAGCCCUUAGCGCGUUCUUCGGUGUCCUGCCCUCACUCCAGUAGCUGCUAUUUUGGCACAAACAGUAUGCUAAGUGUUAAUGAAAAAAGCCCAGGGAGAAAUGCAACCGACUCCCCUUUAAAGGAGUGUGUAAUUUUGAAAGCGAAAGAUCAGACUCACCUGAAAACAAUAGAAGUCUUUGUGACUUGGUUAAUUUGAUUGAUGUGGGGCACAUUUUCUGUUUAAUACACUCUCACACACGCGCACACACACACACACUGCUUUUUAUUGAAGCACACAGUACGUCAAGUGACACGAUCAUUUGGUCAAGACGACUGGAUCUUCAGCCAUACCAACGUCGUCAACCAACUUGAUGCUGCCCUUAAUCCUUUCAGAGCUCCUCUUUAAGCAUCCUGGAGCUACAGUCAUCCAUUAAUAGCCUAUAGUGCCCAAGGGGUAGGAUCUGGGGUGAUUCUGCAGGAUGUUGAAGGUUGAGUCGUGAUUAAUUAUGGCCGUUUGCCAGUAAGCUUCCUCAAAGUUCUGUAUUCCUCUCCCAGGUUAGAUAUUUUGAUUUGACUUUCAGUGCUUUCCUGAAGGUGCAAAACAUCUCCACCUCGCUGCCACGCAUCCUGCCGAACUUGUGUCAGCAGAAAGAGCUUGCCAGUACCAUUGAGAAGAACUUCCUGCCUUGGAUCUGCGGUGUGGGUGAGCCUCUGUCACCUCUGCCCCCGCUGGGCCACCGUAGGUCUGCCGCGGUGACGCUGGUGCUGCCGCGUAAUGGCAGUGGAGACCUUGUGAAUCAGUGCGUUAAUGCUAAAGGUAUGCACGUCACGGAGAGACUCUAAUUUUGGAUGGCAUUCCUCGCUGGUCUGCGUCAAGGGAGAGAGUUUUGAACCUGACCUGGGAUAAGGAGCUUCUUGAAAUGAUCAAUAAUAUGAUUUAAUUAGGAGAUUCUUUAUAGAUUUAAGAUGUUUUUAUGAGAUUUUCCCCCCUUUCAUCUUUUUACCAUUGGGAAAAACAGGCCUGAUUAUCUAGUGCUCUGAGUUGUCCCUCAGCUCUUGAUAUGCUAGACUAUUUUCGUCUUGGAAAACAGGCCUAUUCUUGUUAUGUUGCAAUCGUGCAGAAAAUGCGCAGGCAAAGGAUGGGACAUUCACAGACAGGCACGUUAGUCUCCAUAAGAAGGGUGUCUUGUGCAGAAAUUGAUUUUGCCUGUAUGUGUUUUUUUCCUCUGGUGUUGUGCUUUACCGCGUACUUUGCAUUGAAUGCUCACAUUUGCCGCACUGAGAUGUCUUCCCCGCCCGGCACUGUUUACCGUCACCCUUUAAGGUUUGAUUUGGACCCUGGCACUUCUGGCUUGUGCAGCUUGACAGUCAUGCACCGUGGCAUUUGAGGCUUCCCUGCGAAUUUCCUGACAACGCAGCAGAUUCAGCAAGCGGGCGAUUUCGGGAUCCUCUUGCACAGAGAACCGCAGCAAGGGAAAUCUAGGUUAAGGGCUUGUUGUGCCUUGUCCACCCCCCCCCCCCUUCUCCGUCACCCCUCUACCACGUGGUUCACCGCAACCGCACGAUUGGCAGAGCAUAAUCAUGGGCGUCUUUGGCUUGGGAGAUUAGCCCUGAACCUUGGCCGAGGCCUUUAAACGGGUGAAAGAGGGGUCGCUGUUUGAAUGCCUUCUAUUUACUCCCAUCGAGGAUGUUUGAUUGGUACUUUAUUUGACGGGCUGCUAUCGCUCACAGUGGCAUCCUGUCGAUAGCAGCGGUGUUUGACAGUUAGGAAAAAAUCCGUUUUGUGACACAUUGUAUAUUUUAGCGUGUGUGUUUGUCUAUAAUGCAGAUAAAUUCCAGAGUCCUGUCUAGAUUAUCUCUCUCUCUCUCUCUCUCCCUUUUUUCCUUUUCUCUUGAGUUAACAACCUACAGUAGGUCUGUAGGCCCUCUGACUUUAAACGCUUCACUCUGUUCUUAUAACUGUGUUUUCUAUAAGACGUUGAGGCAUGCGUGUAAUCAUGCAGCGGUCGGCAGAGCACAGAAUGAUCGCAGCAUGUCCCGAGGUGCUUCUUAUGAACUGUCGUGGUUUGAAGUGUGGUUUCAAGUGCGACACCAAACACAUUUCUUUUCCAUUUCCCCCGCCUUCUCGUGCAGCAGAUUCAGCAUCUCGGAUGCAGUGCCGUGGUCAGGCCAGAGCUGCGCGUCAGAGUGAUGCCGUCUGGGGGGGGGGCUGGGGAGCUAUGCUGGACAGCCAGCGCUGCAGAUGGAAGGUGGGAGCACGGUCUCUCUCCUCUUCAUCUAGAUUAACCCUCCCUCCACAUCUCUGCCUGCUUUCUCGCCCUCUCCCACACAUUCCUCUGAAAAGUGGAAACUUCACAGAAAAGCCUCACCCUGUUUGGGCCAUUUCUUACUGUAGAAGAGCGCUGGUCUGCCUCCAUGAUACAGAGGCCUAAGAGUGACCCAGGAGACCAAAAAGAAAGGGCAACUUGGCUUUUAAUACCAUGCUUUUGUCUCCUCCUGUAUUUGGCCUCUUUCUCCUUCUGGUCUUGACUUGCCAAACUGUUCGGUAAUGUUGCAAAAUGACUCUGCAAAACAUGUGAGAGCCUGUCCCAAGUAAGGUGUGAAUGAUCCCCAUAUUCCCGCGACGCUGCGACAGGCAGCUCCCCGUGUGAGUCGGUGCUACGGGUGCUUUAGUGGGCUGGCUGCUUGGAGCUCUGCUGGCUGUUUGGAGCUCUGCUGGCUGUUUGGAGCUCUGCUGGCUGCUUGGAGCUCUGCUGGCUGUUUGGAGCUCUGCUGGCUGUUUGGAGCUCUGCUGGCUGUUUGGAGCUCUGCUGCCUGUUUGGAGCUCUGCUGGCUGCUGCGGACUCCUGCGCGUGGAGAAUCAGAGGAGGCGCUGUCAUAUAAAUAACUGUGCACCUCCACAGACGAUUUUAAUUAGAGAACAAGCUUUAAAUAUCUCAUUUCCUGGGCUUCUGUCUCCGUCACUCUGACUAAAGCCCCCCCACCACCACCGGCCCUUUAUUGCUCCUAAGUUGCCAGUCUUCUGUCUGGCCCCUCCUCUGCGUCCCCAUUGGUCAGGUGGGGUUUUGGUUCCACCCUCUUCUGUAAAGCAGCUUCAGCCUGCCUGCCCUACCAUCCCCCCCCCCCCCCCCCGUUGUGGUUCUUUAGCAUGUAGUUUGUUUUUUCUUCUCUGUAAUUACACGUGUCCCGUUCUGUAUGAGACUAGCAUGUUCAGGAGGUCAGAAGAUCCUCCUGCCUGAUCACUGACACGUGCCACUUUGGUAAACUCAGUAAAUGCCCCACUGGCUUUCACACACGCGGCGGAUCACGGGGGACUGUGAAUAUGCGCCGACCGGUUUGCCGGCACAACCCUCAACAGCUGACUGUCAGGCAUGUGACUGGAUGGCAGAGGUGCUUUGAAGCAGCAGGCUGAGAUACCCAGGCAGAUACCUUAUUCUCUGUCUUUAUUGAAUGUUGCCAGCCCCCCCCACCCCGGUGUUCUGUCUUUGCUUUUACACCUUCUCAGCGACCACGAUUCUCUAGAAAGGAAGUGACAGCGGACUCAAGGGGGGGUCAGCAACCGUGAUGUUGAUGGACGGUUGGAUAUAUUUUUUUUAAUGACAGUCUACGUAAAUUAACUCAUCCAGCUCCCAAAAACUGCAGAGUGAGCAUCUGUCCCAAGGUUGCUUGUGUUACCCACAAGCCCCCUGUACCCUAAUUUCCUCCUGGGCUUCAUGCAUUAUGCGGAAUGUGCUUUAUUAGACAAAGUGUAAAAGUCUGAAACAGUAAUACUCAUGUCUAAUGGGACUGUUUGAUUGAUUUCCCCUCAAGCGCCGUUGUGUGAUCUAGAGGAGCACAGGAGCUCCAUUUGCAUUUAUUUACAUUUGUUUAGUCCCAAGCGAUGUAUUAGUGACUCGGAUAAUGCAUCACGAGUGUCGAAUUGUCACUUGCACCUCACUUUGGGCAAAAGCAUCUGCUAAACAGAUAUACGAAAAUGUAGCUGCUAUUUAUGUCAUGGCACCAUGAGGAUGGGUGUAGAAUGCAGCAGCCCCCAAUGCUGAUGAGGCUUCAGCCCUGCCUGCCUGCCUGCUGGCGGACAUGUCUCGGGGCGGACCGGCAUGUCGCGACCCCGCCUUUGGGGCAGGGAGACGCGUCCCAGCUCUUUCUUGGCCUGCACCAACACGCUGUCCCCUGUGACUCACUUCCUGCUCACUGGCCCUCCGACCAAUAAGGAGAAUGAAUUCCUGUUAACAGUUACUUUGCUGUUACAUGUAUUCGUGGUGUAUUAAUAUGGACAAUUUGGACGUUUAUUUAUUCCCAUUUAAUUUUAUUAUUUAAACAAAGGUCACCGUUUUACUAUUUUGGGUACGUGAUAUUAUUUAAGCAUCGUCAUGGUGAUAUGUGCACGCGCAAUAAUCACAUUGCAUUUGUCAGCGCUGAUUUGUGUCUGUUGACAGCUCGCAGCAACACCACCAAGUUAUUUGACACACACUAUUGGUAGAUAAACUACAGCCAAUGAGAAGUUAUUUUGAGUAAUUUAUUUAAAUAUCAGCAUUACUCCUGGAUAUUUCACAUAUCGUGAUAUCGUUCAGCCCUAAUUACUAUUUUACUUAUACAUAACUUGCAAGGAAAUUAAUUUGUUUGUCAAAGCCCUCAAACUCAACUGUGUGCUAUUUAUCGCAAAUCAGUGCUUCAUUGAAUAAGUUCUAUUGAUCUUUCAGUUGCACAUACAUACUACGUGUUCUUGCCAGUUCUCCUGUAUGGCCUGAGUUGAUGCUUCCCUGGACCCUUAGAGAAUCUAGUUGUGUCUGAUGGAGGUUCUGGUGCCGCUCUAGAGAAACGGGCCCCAAGGUUCAGCAGAUUAUCCCAGGAUCUGGUGAAAGCUUUGACCAGUAUCAAAAGAUCUGGUCUUAUAUUCCAAGGAUUAUCCUCCCAGCUCUGGUCCAGUCUUUGAUCUUUAUCCAGGCUGUCAUAGCGCCCCCUGGAGCCAUGACACGUGUAAAGCAUGUGAAGGCAGGCCUGCAGGCUGCACAAGCUCCCCAUUGAGAGCCUCAUCCCCUGGUCUGCAUGUCCCGGCCCGGCAGCGGGGGUGUCCGCUCUGGGUCUUGUGAUCCUUGGAGCUCCACAGAGCCCCAUUGUUGAGCCACCUUGCCGGUCAGCUGACGGGGCCUGGACAGGAUUCCUCUCCUACUGCAUUCGGUGUGUCGACUCCGGUCCCCGUUACAGAAGGGUUCUGAUCAAGUCUAUUUCUUU